AGUGAACGCUGGCGGUAGGCCUAACACAUGCAAGUCGAACGGCAGCACAGUAAGAGCUUGCUCUUACGGGUGGCGAGUGGCGGACGGGUGAGGAAUACAUCGGAAUCUACUUUUUCGUGGGGGAUAACGUAGGGAAACUUACGCUAAUACCGCAUACGACCUACGGGUGAAAGCAGGGGAUCUUCGGACCUUGCGCGAUUGAAUGAGCCGAUGUCGGAUUAGCUAGUUGGCGGGGUAAAGGCCCACCAAGGCGACGAUCCGUAGCUGGUCUGAGAGGAUGAUCGGCCACACUGGAACUGAGACACGGUCCAGACUCCUACGGGAGGCAGCAGUGGGGAAUAUUGGACAAUGGGCGCAAGCCUGAUCCAGUCAUACCGCGUGGGUGAAGAAGGCCUUCGGGUUGUAAAGCCCUUUUGUUGGGAAAGAAAAGCAGCAGGUUAAUACCCCGCUGUUCUGACGGUACCCAAAGAAUAAGCACCGGCUAACUUCGUG
RNAcentral lists this ribosomal RNA (492 nucleotides) under uncultured bacterium. RNAcentral describes it as "partial 16S ribosomal RNA". It matches the Rfam family "Bacterial small subunit ribosomal RNA", at positions 29 to 507 of the family's 1533-position model. The record is from RNAcentral.